GGAGGGGUCGCAUAGUCCGGCCGAGUGCGGGCGACUCGAAAUCGCCUGGGGUCUUUGUGCCCCCGUGGGUUCAAAUCCCACCCCCUCCG
RNAcentral lists this transfer RNA (89 nucleotides) under Chloroflexota bacterium. Its description in RNAcentral is "Chloroflexi bacterium (hydrothermal vent metagenome) tRNA-Ser". It matches the Rfam family "tRNA". Rfam says of the family: Transfer RNA (tRNA) molecules are approximately 80 nucleotides in length. Lineage: Bacteria; Bacillati; Chloroflexota. The record is from RNAcentral.